RNAcentral lists this small RNA (83 nucleotides) under Marmota monax (woodchuck). The record is from RNAcentral. Lineage: Eukaryota; Metazoa; Chordata; Mammalia; Rodentia; Sciuridae.
GCCGGGUGCAUUGGUGCACGCCUGUAAUCCCAGUAGCUUGGGAGGCUGAGGCAGGAGGAUCUUGAGUUCAAAGCCAGCCUCAG